This 500-nucleotide ribosomal RNA is filed under the name uncultured bacterium. RNAcentral's name for it is "partial 16S ribosomal RNA". It matches the Rfam family "Bacterial small subunit ribosomal RNA", at positions 28 to 523 of the family's 1533-position model. The record is from RNAcentral.
AUUGAACGCUGGCGGAAUGCUUUACACAUGCAAGUCGAGCGGCAGCGCGGGGCAACCUGGCGGCGAGCGGCGAACGGGUGAGUAAUGCAUCGGAACAUGUCCAGUCGUGGGGGAUAGCCCGCCGAAAGGCGGAUUAAUACCGCAUACGCCCGGGAGGGGAAAGCGGGGGACCUGCAAGGGCCUCGCGCGAUUGGGUUGGCCGAUGUCCGAUUAGCUAGUUGGUGGGGUGAGGGACGACCCAGGCGAGGAUCGGUAGCUGGUCUGAGAGGAUGAGCAGCCACACUGGGACGGGGAAGCUGCCCAGACUCCUACGGGAGGCAGCAGUGGGGAAUUUUGGACAGUUGGGGCAACCCUGAUCCCGCCAUUCCGCGUGAGUGAAGAAGGCCUUCGGGUUGUAAAGCUCUUUUGUCCGGAGCGAAACGGUUGUGGUGAAUAUCCACGACAACUGACGGUACCGGAAGAAUAAGCACCGGCUAACUACGUGCCAGCCGCCGCCGCGG